UGGACCUGAUAUCAGCAAGAUCCC
Molecule: ribosomal RNA, 24 nt
Filed under: Phytophthora pseudocryptogea
Lineage: Eukaryota; Oomycota; Peronosporomycetes; Peronosporales; Peronosporaceae
Description: partial 28S ribosomal RNA
Source: RNAcentral